This 114-nucleotide ribosomal RNA is filed under the name Lepisosteus oculatus (spotted gar). The record is from RNAcentral. Lineage: Eukaryota; Metazoa; Chordata; Actinopteri; Semionotiformes; Lepisosteidae.
UUCACCAUAUCACCCUGCAACACCCAACUGACAACCCACUGAAGUUAAGCAGGUAUGAGCCUGGUCAGUACCUGGAUGGGAGACCUCCUGGGAAAGCUAAGGGUGCUGGUGGAA